Long non-coding RNA from Sinocyclocheilus grahami, 301 nucleotides. RefSeq lists it as uncharacterized. The record is from RefSeq and is a predicted model, not a curated record. The transcript is spliced from 3 exons. Lineage: Eukaryota; Metazoa; Chordata; Actinopteri; Cypriniformes; Cyprinidae.
AUGAAGUGAGCUGUCUGAGAACAUCUGACUUGGCGGACAGCUGACCUUUAUCGGAUCAACACAUUGAACAAUGGCACUGAUUCUUUCAGAAGGAACAGAGCCUCUAAGCAGCUCCUUUUGCUGCACUCCUCAUUUGCUCUUGCAGCUGCAGGAAGUUGAGCAACUCAGCCCACAAGUGUGCCACAGAAAUACACCCAGAACAAGAUAAGGACCAGAGAGUACUGAGACGCAUUACUAGCUAUUUUUUGGAUCCAGAGAGCGUGAAACAUCUGUCAGAAGAGCAACAGAGUAAAGCUGAAGU